Molecule: ribosomal RNA, 224 nt
Filed under: uncultured bacterium
Lineage: Bacteria
Description: partial 16S ribosomal RNA
Rfam family: Bacterial small subunit ribosomal RNA
Source: RNAcentral
CAUCCUGGCUCAGGAUGAACGCUGACAGAAUGCUUAACACAUGCAAGUCGAUGGGGAAGUGGUGCUUGCACCAUGGUAACCAUGGCGGACGGGUGAGUAACGCGUAAGGGACUUACCUGCGGGACUGGGAUAACAGCAGGAAACUGCUGAUAAGACCGGAUAAGGUCAUGGAGCUGCAUGGUUUCAUGAUGGAAGGAGACGCCUGCGGAGAGCCUUGCGUCCUA